RNAcentral lists this ribosomal RNA (984 nucleotides) under Diplorchis hangzhouensis. RNAcentral describes it as "16S ribosomal RNA". The stretch from base 652 to 940 matches the Rfam family "Archaeal large subunit ribosomal RNA", at positions 2150 to 2716 of the family's 2987-position model. Lineage: Eukaryota; Metazoa; Platyhelminthes; Monogenea; Polystomatidea; Polystomatidae. The record is from RNAcentral.
UUCCUAUUGGGUUAUAUUAUUGUGUUUUUUGGGGUGUUGUUCCUUUUGCAUCAUGAUUGAUCGAUAUGUUAUUUUAUUAUUAUGUUUCUCGAAACGAAUAGAUAAAUCAAAACAUAGUUAAGAACUAAUUAUUUAACGAGUGGUUAUUAUUAAAUGUUUUGAUUGUAUAGAUAUUUUAGUCGUAGUUUGUUAUAACUAGUUUUAAUUGUUUGUAUUUCUUUUUAUAUCAUAUCCUGUGAGGGGUUUGAUGAGUUUAUAUUUUGUUUAUUUUUUGUAUUUAGUUGGAUUAAUAGUGUCCUUUACUAUUAUAAAAGUGUUAUUAUUUUUUGUUUGUGGUUUAAGUAAUUAAUGUUAAGCAAUUAUUUUUAUAAAUAAUUUUUUAAUAAUAAUGGUUGAAUAAGUAGCUUUAUAAAAAUGAUUUUUUUUUUUGAUUAUAUUUCGACUGUUUAUUAAAAACAUUUCUUCUUAGCUGUUUAAUUAGAGGUAUUGCCUGCUCCAUGUUUUUAUAAAUAGCCGCAUUAGCGUGAGUGUGCUAAGGUAGCAUAAUUAAUUGCUUCUUAAUUAGGAGAUUGUUUGAAUGGUUUAACGAUGGUAUAUAAAGAUGGUUUUUAUGAUUGAAAUUACUUAUAAGGUACAGAAGCCUUAUGUUUUUAAUUAGACGGGAAGACCCUAAGAAUUUUAAAAUUUAUUUUUUGUUUGGGGCAAAAAUUUUUUUUUUAAUUAAAGUUUGAUGAUCUCUUAGAAAAUUGGUGUGAAUUACCUUAGGGAUAACAGGGUAAGAAAUAAUAAGAGUACUAAUCGAUUUAUUUAAUUGCCACCUCGAUGUUGACUUGGGAUAAUAGUUUAGCGCAGUAGCUAUAAGUAUAGGUCUGUUCGACCUUUAAAUUCCUUCAUGAGUUGAGUUGAGACCGACGUGAGUCAGGUUGGUUCCUAUCUAUUAUAUAAAUUUGUUAGUACGAAAGGAUUGCAAAUUUUUAAAAUUUA